ACUCCUACGGGAGGCAGCAGUGGGGAAUAUUGCGCAAUGGGCGAAAGCCUGACGCAGCCAUGCCGCGUGUGUGAAGAAGGCCUUAGGGUUGUAAAGCACUUUCAAUUGGGAAGAAAAGUUUACGGUUAAUAGCGUGCAACUGUGACAUUACCUUUAGAAGAAGCACCGGCUAACUCCGUGCCAGCAGCCGCGGUAAUACGGAGGGUGCAAGCGUUAAUCGGAAUUACUGGGCGUAAAGCGCGCGUAGGCGGUUUGUUAAGUCGGAUGUGAAAGCCCUGGGCUCAACCUGGGAACUGCAUUCGAUACUGAUCGACUAGAGUACGAGAGAGGGAGGUAGAAUUCCACGUGUAGCGGUGAAAUGCGUAUAUAUGUGGAGGAAUACCGGUGGCGAAGGCGGCCUCCUGGCUCGAUACUGACGCUGAGGUGCGAAAGCGUGGGUAGCAAACAGGAUUAGAUACCCUGGUAGUCCACGCCGUAAACGAUGUCUACUAGCCGUUGGGAGACUUGAUUUCUUAGUGGCGCAGCUAACGCACUAAGUAGACCGCCUGGGGAGUACGGCCGCAAGGUUAAAACUCAAAUGAAUUGACGG
RNAcentral lists this ribosomal RNA (589 nucleotides) under uncultured bacterium. RNAcentral describes it as "bacterial SSU rRNA". It matches the Rfam family "Bacterial small subunit ribosomal RNA", at positions 335 to 916 of the family's 1533-position model. The record is from RNAcentral.